RNA transcript from Leucoraja erinaceus (little skate), 5454 nucleotides. It is a transcript of the gene named multifunctional ROCO family signaling regulator 1, with no coding region annotated. The record is from RefSeq and is a predicted model, not a curated record. The transcript is spliced from 3 exons. NCBI's taxonomy places the organism in Eukaryota, Metazoa, Chordata, Chondrichthyes, Rajiformes, Rajidae.
CAUCGUUACUUUUUUCAUAUAUUUUAUUCAUUGUUCUUUAUUUCUCCACAUUGUCGUCGAUAUCUCUUAUUUCCCUUCUCCCUAACCAGUCUGAAGAAGGGUCUCGACCCGAAACGUCACCCAUUCCUUCUCUCCAGAGAUGCUGCGUGCCUGAGUUACUCCAGCUUUUUGUGUCUAUCUUCGGUUUAACCCAGCAUCUGCAGUUCCUUCUUACACAUUUCGUCUGCUCUUUGUUACGGUCGGUUCGACGAAGCUGAGCCGGAGUGUGCGGAGGGGCGGCGGCUCCGCCCGGCGUGCUGUGUUAUUGGUUGCGGAAGGGAGGCGAGGGAGGGGUUUGAAGCUGUCGGCCGCGGGUAGACAGCGGUAGGUAGGCAGGCAGGCAGGCAGUGCAGACAGAUAGAUAGUGUAGACGGGCCGGCCGGCUGCGGGAGCUCAGCUUCCCCCUUCCACUAUCACGGUCAAUGGCUCCGGCACAAGGUGGUGGCGGGAGCCCGGGACACUCGGCGCUCAGGGCGGCCGUGGCCUGCGGCUGACCAUGUAGAGGGAGCGGCGCAAUGGCCGAGAGCAGUGGCAGCGUGCAGGCGGUCAAAGUGUGGCGGGAGGCGGCGCUGCGUUGCAGGAAACUCCGCAGCAACCUCCGGCAGCUGAGCCUGAGCAGCGCCGGCGACCAGCGCCUCUCCCUGCCCGACAACAUCAGUCAGGUGCAGAUCCUCGACCUGGCCAACAACUCGCUGCGGGAGCUGCCCGAUGGCCUGGACGCGUCGCUCACCAACCUGCGGGCGCUGAUCCUUCGGAGGAACCGCCUGUGCCGCCUGCCCGCCCCAGUCUGCGCCCUGGACCAGCUGGCCGAGCUGGACCUGGCUCACAACUGCCUGGCGCAGCUACCCGGAGAGCUGGGCCGCUUGCAGCGCCUCAAGAAGCUGUGUCUCAGCCACAACAAGCUGCAGCAGCUGCCGCCGCAGAUCGCCGCGCUACUCUGCCUGGAGGAGCUGGACAUCAGCUUCAAUGAGCUGGGCCAGUUGCCGCCCACCUUCGGGCAGCUACAGCGGCUGCGGACCCUGGACCUGGACCACAACAGGCUGAGCUGCUUCCCGCAACAGAUCCUGCGCCUCGGCGAGCUGGAGGAACUGGACUUCUCGGGCAACAAGAUCGACGCUCUGCCGCAGGAGAUCCUGCAGCUGCGCUCCAUGAAAAUCCUUUGGCUGAGCGGCCUGAGACUGUCCGACCUGCCCGAGACCUUCUGCCAACUCACGGCGCUGGAGAGCCUGAUGUUGGACAACAACAGAUUGCGCUCGCUGCCCCAGAGUUUCGGCCUCCUGGAGAAGCUCAAGAUGAUCAAUUUGUCCUCCAACCUGUUCGAGGACUUCCCCAGCGCCCUACUGGGGCUGUGCAGCCUGGAGGAGCUGUACCUGAGCAGGAACAGGCUGUCUGUGAUCCCGCAGAAGAUCGGCAACAUGUCCAGGUUGGCCACACUGUGGCUGGACAACAACAGGGUGCGCUACCUGCCCGACUCUAUCGUCAGCCUGUGUCACCUGGAGGAGCUGGUGCUACAGGGCAACCAGAUCGCCAUCCUGCCCGACUCGUUCGGCCAGCUCUCCAAAGUCAGCCUGUGGAAGAUCAAGGAUAACCCAUUGAUCCAGCCGCCCUACGAGGUGUGCAUGAAGGGCAUCCCCUACAUCGCGGCCUACCAGAAGGAGCUGGCGCUGUCGCAGCCGGCGCUCAAACCCCGACUCAAGCUGGUGCUCCUGGGACCUAAGGACGCCGGCAAGACUUCGCUGCGGCAGUGCCUGGUCGGCAGCAAACUCAGCUCCCCGGCCGUGCAGAGCAAAGGCAUCGAGGUGACCCAGUGGGUGGCGGACGCCGAGAACAACCUGACUUUUAUCGUCUACGAUUUGGCUGGGGAUGCGAACUACGAGCCCAUCCAGCCGUUCUUCCUCUCGCCGGGCGCCCUGUAUGUGCUGGUGGUGAGCCUGAGAGCGUACGCGCCGCGCCGCUUUUACCAACAGGUCGGGUACUACCUGCACUUGCUGGGGGCUCGAGUGCCCCACGGCGUGGUGUGUGUGGUGGGGGCGCAUGUGGACGAGUGCAGCGAGCGGGAGGUGGAGGAGAAAUGCCUGGACAUCCACCAGCAGAUCGCCGUGCAGGAGAAGCGAGACGUGGAGUGCAUGCAGGCGCUGGCCGGCCAGGUGGACGGGGCGCUGGGCCAGGGCCGGGGGCUGGAUCUGCGGGCCGCCAGCCCGCACGCCCCCUUCUACGGCGUGUGCGAGAAGAACCUGCGCAGGAAGAAGGCCCAGCUGCAGUACCUGCUCAACCACCGGCUGCAGAUCCUGUCCCCGGUCAUCGGCGUCAGCUGCUGCCGCGGGCGGCCGGCCGGCAUCGGCCGCCUCAAGGACAAGUUGCUGUCGGUGGCCGAGCACCGCCAGAUCUUCCCCAACCUACACCGGGUGCUGCCCCGCUCCUGGCAGCGGCUGGAGGAGCUGCACUACCGGCCUCAGCGCCUGUGGCUGUCGUGGUGGGACUCUGCCCGCCUGGGGCUACAGGCCGGCCUGACCGAGGACCGGCUGCAGAGCGCCCUGUCCUACCUGCACGAAAGCGGCAAGUUGCUUUACUUCGAGGACAGCCCGCCCCUCCGGGAGUGCGUCUUCCACAACCUGACCGGGCUGAUCGACAUCCUCAACGUCUUCUUCCAGCGCGACGCGUCGCUGCUGCUGCACAAGCUGCUGGCCGGCGCCGACGUGGACGAGCUGAGGGCAGCGCAGCUCCAGCACUUCGUGGAGGGCUUCUUGCUCCACGGGCUGCUCCCGCUGCACGUUAUCCGGCUGCUGCUCAAGCCGCACAUCAACACGCAGCAGGACCUCCACCUCAUCCUGCAGCUGCUGGAGAAGAUGGGGCUCAGUUACUGUCUCAACAAGCCCAAGACGACCCCUCUGAACGGCGCGGCGGUGUGGUUCAAGUUCCCCAGCUACGUGAAGAACGAGGUGCCCCACGCCGAGGCCUGGAUCAAUGGUUUCAAUCUCUCCGGGCAGCCCAUCGCCGUCGAGCAGUUACAGGUGGAGUACAGUUUCCCCUUUCUGUUCCCACCAGGCCUAUUUGCCAGAUACAGCGUCCAGAUCAACUCUCACAUUGUGCAGCGGUCAGAUGGCAAAUAUCAGAUCUUUGCCUACAGGGGCAAGGUCCCGGUGGUCAUCAGCCACAAACCCUCCCAAAGCUGUCUGCAAGCGGACACCUUAUCUAUUGCCAGCCACGCUACCUUGCCAAAUAUUUGGACUGCAUGGCAAGCCAUAAUCCCUCUGGUGGAAGAACUAAACGUGCUCCUCCAGGAGUGGCCGGGAUUAUACUUCUCUGUGCACGUCCUGUGUUCCAAGUGCCUUAAAAGAGGGUCCUCAAAUCCUCACGCCUUCCCAGGGGAACUAUUGACCCAAUCCAGGCCUGAAGGGGUGACGGAGAUUAUCUGCCCCAAGAAUGGGAGUGAGCGUGUGGACGUGGCCCUGAUUUACCCCCCGACCCCCACUGUGAUCAGUCCCUGCUGUAAGUGAGAAUGGCCCACCCUGCUAGUCUCCAUCAGAAAAGAUAUCUUUAAAAUUCUGUUCAAAUAUUUGGGAGACAAGUUAUUUAGCAAGAAUAAGGUUGAUGUGUAGCGAGGCAUUGUGAACAGUAGAGGAAUGUCUAUUUAUCCAUGGAUAUGUGAAGAGGAGACUGGAAGCUCUGAACAUGGAUGCUCUUUGACAGUGGAUUCAAUGGGCAUGGGCAGAGGAUCUCGAGCCAGACCACUGACUUUCUCGAUUCCACGCACGAAGCUGGGAAAGAGGUGUUGUUGUUCACUACAAAAUGUCCUCCCUUGGAUGAAGAAUGGAGGAUUUUUAUCGUUUGAAAGCAGAUUGACCCACUUAACUUAUUCUUUUCAUGGACAAUGCAGUAUAGACAAUCUACAAAGUGCGCAGGAGUUGUUCACCCAACAGCAUUUCCCAUAUCUGCGACUGCUACCAAGGACAAAGGCAACAGGCACAUAGGAAAACCACAAACUGUAGGCCCCACUUGGAAGUCUCAGACCAUCUUGAUUUGGAAAUAAAUCACGGAUCCUUCAGCGUCGCUGGAUCCAUAAUCCUUGAGCUUCAGCUUCAGCUUGAGCAACAGUGCCAGGGGAGUACCUUUACCAGAAAGAUGGCACUGGCUCAUCACCACCUUCCUGAAGGCAAUUAAGAAUGGGCAGUAAAUCUUGGCUUCCUCAUCCUGAAAAAUUAAUAAAUAAUAAGAAAGACACACACACAGUUCCACCAUCUAUUUCUGGAACAAGUGGCUCCUCAGGGAUUUUCUUUUGCAGUGUUUAAUGAAAGCCAUAUUCCUACAAAGUGUUGUAGGAAUAAAAUGCCAAAAGUGAUGUUUCCGUUCUUGAGUAGGCUCAGAUCAUUCAGAGUCUGCAAAAGCGCAUCACCACCAUUUUAUUGUUUAAACUUAUUGAAAGGUAUAAUUUAGAAUCUGCAUUAUUUUAAAGUUUGUGCAAUACUCGGUGUAACAAAACAGACUAUGCACGCUGCUUCCUUCGCCCUUGUUCAGACCAGUUUUGAAGCCCCUUAACUGACCCCUAUCAACCUUCCAGAUCUGCUUGGGGUUGAAAAAUUGGAUUAAAACAUCAAUUCCAAAUUGUCACUAUAUGUUGUGAGGUAUUAAAAUGUAAUUUUAUUAUAACACUGGGGAACAAUUAUUUGAAAGUUGCAUUUUAUUUUACAAAGAUAAAUCUGAAAAUCUGCAUUUUCAUUGUCAACACCUCUCAUCUCCGUCCCAGUACAACCCAUUGAGUGGGUUCUUCCAAUUGCAUCCAUUCAGUAAUAGCACUCUCAUCCCCAAGUCAGAAGCUUGUGAAUUCAAGUUCCACUGCAGAGAAUGACCACGUGUGCCAGGCUGGCACGACAGGGCAGUAUCGCGCAGAGCUGAGCUUUUGGAGCUGCCCUUUUCCAAAUGAGAUACCAAACCCUCUUGGAAGAUCAGAUUCAGUCCUACAGUGUUACUUGAAGUUCAGGGGAUAUUCCCAGGUGGGCUGGACAACACUUAUUUCAUCCACCAAAAAAAAUCAUUACUCAAUUGUUCAUUCAUUUACUGUUUGUGGAAGUUUGCUGUGUGAAAAAAUGUUGGGCAAGGUUGCCUACAGAAGAAUGACAACAUUUCAGGAGGUAAUCCGUUGAAUGUGAAGUGUGUUGGGACAUCCUGAGGACAUGCCAAGGCAGUCCAAAAAGAUGAGCUUUUACUGCUCCAAAGGAAAUUGUAGAAUUGUGUAUCAUUAAAACAAAAGUGUUUUUCUUUUAAUCAAUUAAUCUGAAAAAAAGUGAGAAUCAGUGCACCCUACAAAUAUCUUAUUUUUUAUGUCUUGUUAAUGAACAUGUAUUGCGAUGGAACUGAAACAUUUGCACAUCAGUCACCUUGAAUAAUAACACUUAUUAAAAGAAUCAUUGGAAAAUG